GCAGGAAAGGCAAAGCCAAAGGAACAGCAUGACAAAAUGAAGGACACUGUACUGAGGAUGCCUGAGUUCGGUGCAGCAAAGGAGAAACUUCCAGAAUGAUCUUGCUGCCCAUCAUCUCCCUGAAGGGAACGUGCAACCUGGCCUUCUGACCAGCUGCCGUGCUCGAUACCCAAGUGCUGGGAUUGCAGCCGUGCACCACCACACCUGAUAUGUCCCCUUUUAAACUGUUGGUCUCUGUUGUCCACACUUCCUGAUGAACCCACCAUGGUUGGCCUUGGAAUUUCCCACCAAACUUGGCCUCUCCUUCCUGGAAGAUGGGUGGAUGCCUUCUCCUUCCUCUUGCUGGUUUCACGCAUGCGCCUUGGAGGGGACACGUUUCAUCUCUGAGCUGUAGCCCGAGGAUGAUGCACUUGACAGUGGAGGCUGCAAACCAAUCGUUGUGCAGUGGACCUGGGACUAAAGGCUUCAGCCAGCCGGAGCCUUGUGGACAUAAUCUCUUGAUGAGCUUACCAUCCUCAGCAUUUAAUCACCUCCAAAUAGUACCCUGGACAAGGGACUGACCCUUUAACUCAUGAGCCUUCUUAGGGAUCACUUUACAACUAAACCAUACAAGACUCCUCAGAUCAAGACAUCACUCUCAUCUGACUCAGCACCAUGCCUGCCUGCCUGCUGCCAUACUCUGUGCCAUGAUGGUCAUGCUUCUGUCCUGUCACCCCCAGAGGUGAGAAGAGGACCUGCCUCCUCUGAGAAGCCUCCUGGAGCAACAGUCACUGGAGGUUCUCAUUCGUCCCUUGACCAUUGCCAUCUCAGUGAUGAUGUCAGUAGCGGCUCCAGCCUCUCUACUGCCACAGGUCGUCCAUUUCUCCUCAGUAUACAGCAAGGGGCCGGUGCUGGAGAGAGGCAGGCUAUCAAUCCAAGAUGUAUGGAGAGAAAUAGGCUAUCAAACCAAGAUGGAGACAGGAAGACUAUCAAACCGAGAUGGACUGCAUCAUUGUAUCCUUUCUAGGAAAUUUUCUCAGAAGUCUAACUCCAGAAAGACCGGAGUUUCUUGAGGGUGAUACAGGUGGCUGAGAGUCCUUCAGCGAAGGCGCUCUGAAGAUAAGGGAAACUGAGAGAUAUACUAAGGCCCUCCACAGGCCUUCAGGAAAAAAGUAUCACACACACUUCAGAAGCAAGGCCUCUGCUUAGGCCCUUUGUUGGGAAGGCUGAGCUAAGCAGAGAGCACAGAGCAGCCGGGACUGGCUGAGUUGGACUCAAGAGGACUGCAGAACUCCAAGAGCACAGCUUCUUCAAGCUGCUUUGCAAUGGUCAAGCAACCUCUCCUCCCUUUACCUCAGCACCACAAUGACUUUGACUAUUCUGCCCUGGGCAGGUCCCUGCCACCGACAGCUUGUUUAUAGAACCCCUUUGUCAUCAGCAUAUUGUAUAACUUUCUAGAAUGUGUUUGGCUUCACCCCUUCCUCACCUCUUUAGAGCUAUUUCAAAAAUAUUGGGUUUCUUUUUUUUUUUUUUUCCUCCUCCAAAAACUUCAUAGGAAAGAAGGAACUCAAAGAGGUUAGUGCAGAUAACGAGAAAAGCAGGACUAGGUGGGCUGUCACCGUGUCCAAGGAUUAGGAAGACGAAAUGCUUCUUUGUCCCCGUCCUUGCUGUCACAGAGAAACUGUUUCAGGGCAUCCAGAUCAAGGCCAGUGAUGCUGGCGGCAUCGGGCAGGGGGCUCAGUAGCAAUAAUAAAAAUGCUAUAUUACAUACAGUCCCACCUAUAAUCAAAAGUAUUUAUAAGUAACCAGGGAUAUAUUUUCAGAGGACGUGGAGACAUGGCUCAGCAGUUAAGUGUACAUGAUGCUCUCAAGAGGACCAGGGUUAGGUUCCAAGUACCCACCUGGUAGCUCAACCAUCCACAACCCCAGUUGUCAGGGAUCAGAUGCCCUCUUCUGAACUCUGAGGGUACCUGGCAUGCAUGUGUUGACACACAUAUGUGCAGGUAAAGCAU
Molecule: long non-coding RNA, 1991 nt
Organism: Arvicanthis niloticus (Nile rat)
Lineage: Eukaryota; Metazoa; Chordata; Mammalia; Rodentia; Muridae
Source: RefSeq, a predicted model, not a curated record